Molecule: long non-coding RNA, 1197 nt
Filed under: Zonotrichia albicollis (white-throated sparrow)
Lineage: Eukaryota; Metazoa; Chordata; Aves; Passeriformes; Passerellidae
Description: lncRNA (ENSZALG00000006888.1)
Source: RNAcentral
GAGAAGUGUGGAGUGGGAUUACAGCAGUAAAUCCAUAGUCAGCUCUGGGAUUGCAGCCUAAGCCCCUCAGACACCAUUCCCACCUUUUCAUCCUGCCCUGUACAUUUGCUAUUUAUACUUCUUUUCAGACAAUGUGGGCAAAACUACAUGCAAUAUACAAGAUAUGAUAUUAUAGCAAGUGUCCUGCUUCUUUCUUACUUCUGUUUUUUUCUUACUAUUUUCAAACAUUGCAUGGGUCACUUCUUGACCUGCUCUCUCCACAGAGCCAUGAACAAGAGGUCUGAGAUCUCUUUCCUGAGUGCAGAUUUACCAGUGAAUGCAAAGGUGAAUGAGAUUUCCUUUCAUUAGAGGCUAAAAUGGUGGCUGAAAAUGUCUUUGGGCACUACCAAAACCAAGUUGCUUACCUGGACAGUGGCACUCCCUCUGCAACAAGCGAGACAGCGAGCAAACUCCUGGGCAGAGCUGGCACUGCCAUCCACAGGAAUUGAACUCAGACUCCAAGACAAGAACCUUUCAUGGUACCAGUGCAAUCCCUGCUGCUUGGGAAACCCAUUUGGUAGAUCCAUCUGGACCUUCUCCUAAUGUGCCACUGCCACAGAUGAGCUGGGGCUUUUUGCACAGCCUGCACUUUCCUUUUUAAAAACAGAGUUUUGGACACAUCAGAUUCAUUUAAUGCCUGGCUGUAAAGUGAGUCAAAACAAAUUAAAAUUGUAAAGUAUUUGUGAUGAUGAGAAGUGAAAGUUUGGAGGUAACAAAAAUAGGAUGCAAGCCUUCUAAGAACAUUUCCAGGCAAUUGGUGUAAUGCUGGAUAGUCGUGCAGCUCCACUGAAAGAUGUUACUGAUGCAUAUGUGAAACUUUAUUCCAAGACACACACUGAUGUAAAUGCAACAGGUGAUGAAAAAGAAUGUCAGAAGGAUGAGAAACUGCAACUAAAAACAAUUAGAAGCCAUGCUUGAAUUCAGGCUAUUUUCAGGGAUAAAUACAAAAAACUACUUUCUCCUCUUCAAAAUAUAAGUCCUUCAUGGAGCCACACAAACAUGUGCCUUUGUUUAGAUCAGGCCAAUAUUUUUGUUAGAAUGUGAAAUUUCAUCCAGAGGUAUUUAAUAAUGUAAAUGGCAUAAAAUUCCUCUUCUCUGGUGUAUUCAAGUUUAACAUUUUCUAAUAAAAACAGUCACAGAAAAGGUGCCCUUAUACUG